CAAUAGCGUAUAUUUAAGUUGUUGCAGUUAAAAAGCUCGUAGUUGGAUUUCGGGUGGGACGCAGCGGUCUCGCAUUGCGUUUGUACUGCUGCAGCCCUCCUUCUUGCCGGGGGCGGCCUCUCGGACUUCACUGUCUGGGGGUCAGAAUCGGCGAUGUUACUUUGAGUAAAUUAGAGUGUUCAAAGCAAGCUUACGCUCUGAAUAUAAUAGCAUGGGAUAACACGACAGGACUCUGGCCUAUCGUGUUGGUCUAUAGGACCAGAGUAAUGAUUAAGAGGGACAGUCGGGGGCAUUCGUAUUCCGUUGUCAGAGGUGAAAUUCCUGGAUUUACGGAAGACGAACAUCUGCGAAAGCAUUUGCCAAGGAUGUUUUCAUUGA
Molecule: ribosomal RNA, 378 nt
Filed under: uncultured eukaryote
Lineage: Eukaryota
Description: partial 18S ribosomal RNA
Rfam family: Eukaryotic small subunit ribosomal RNA
Source: RNAcentral